This 326-nucleotide ribosomal RNA is filed under the name Sandona sp. RNAcentral describes it as "SSU rRNA". The stretch from base 117 to 326 matches the Rfam family "Eukaryotic small subunit ribosomal RNA", at positions 746 to 955 of the family's 1831-position model. Lineage: Eukaryota; Cercozoa; Glissomonadida; Sandonidae. The record is from RNAcentral.
GAUUUCUCGACUGCGACUGUUGACCGACCACGGUUUCGUGUGUACGUGUGAGCAGCGAGGUCGAUCCUUCUCAGCGCCGUCGGUACUACUCUUCACUGAGUCGGUACUCGGUCUGAGAUCUUUUACUUUGAAAAAAUUAGAGUGUUUCAAGCAGGCUCCUUUGCUAUGAAUACAUUAGCAUGGAAUAAUAAUUUAGGACUUUGGUUCUAUUUUGUUGGUUUCUAGGACUGAAGUAAUGAUUGAUAGGGAUAGUUGGGGGUGCUAGUAUUCAGCGGCCAGAGGUGAAAUUCUCGGAUUCGCUGAAGACUAACUUAUGCGAAAGCAUU